GUAUUGGUGGUUCAGUGGUAGAAUGCUCGCCCGCCACGCGGACAACCCAGGUUUGAGCUCGGGCCUGAGACU
Molecule: non-coding RNA, 72 nt
Organism: Parelaphostrongylus tenuis
Lineage: Eukaryota; Metazoa; Nematoda; Chromadorea; Rhabditida; Metastrongylidae
Source: the annotation of a GenBank genome assembly